AUGGUCAAGAAGAUGAACAAAAGAAAAAGGAUGGUUAGAGGAGCCGCUGUUUUUGUCACACUUGCUGCAAUUGCAGUCAUUGUUCGAGCUAUAAUAAGGAAGAGAAGAACACUUAUUACAUAUGGCCCAAUGUAUGAAAGAGAUCGAAUCAGAUAUGAUUAUCUAGAUCAAAAAAUUUGGCAAAGCGAUGUGUUAUGUAAAAACAUGUUAAGGUUUAAAAGAGCUGCGUUCUUUUGCUUGUGUGGCAUACUCAGGGAUCACAAAUUGCUAGAAGACAGUCCACAUCUUAGCGUGGAGCAACAAUUAGCGAUGUUUUUUGCAUACAAUUGGGCAUAA
This 336-nucleotide ribosomal RNA is filed under the name Triticum aestivum (bread wheat). RNAcentral describes it as "partial small subunit ribosomal RNA". Lineage: Eukaryota; Viridiplantae; Streptophyta; Magnoliopsida; Poales; Poaceae. The record is from RNAcentral.